UGGGGAAUAUUGCACAAUGGGCGAAAGCCUGAUGCAGCGACGCCGCGUGAGGGAUGACGGCCUUCGGGUUGUAAACCUCUUUCAGCAGGGACGAAGCGAAAGUGACGGUACCUGCAGAAGAAGCACCGGCUAACUACGUGCCAGCAGCCGCGGUAAUACGUAGGGUGCAAGCGUUGUCCGGAAUUACUGGGCGUAAAGAGUUCGUAGGCGGUUUGUCGCGUCGUUUGUGAAAACUCACAGCUCAACUGUGAGCCUGCAGGCGAUACGGGCAGACUUGAGUACUGCAGGGGAGACUGGAAUUCCUGGUGUAGCGGUGAAAUGCGCAGAUAUCAGGAGGAACACCGGUGGCGAAGGCGGGUCUCUGGGCAGUAACUGACGCUGAGGAACGAAAGCGUGGGUAGCAAACA
Molecule: ribosomal RNA, 407 nt
Filed under: uncultured bacterium
Lineage: Bacteria
Also listed under: 1 other name
Description: bacterial SSU rRNA
Rfam family: Bacterial small subunit ribosomal RNA
Source: RNAcentral